GUCGAACGAAAAGACGGAAAGAGCUUGCUCUUUUCAGAAUUGAGUGGCCCACUUGGUGAGUAACACGUAAACAACCUGCCUUCAGGAUGGGGACAACAGACGGAAACGACUGCUAAUACCGAAUAAGUUCCAAGAGCCGCAUGGCCCAUGGAAGAAAAGGUGGCCUCUACCUGUAAGCUAUCGCCUGAAGAGGGGUUUGCGUCUGAUUAGCUGGUUGGAGGGGUAACGGCCCACCAAGGCGACGAUCAGUAGCCGGUCUGAGAGGAUGAACGGCCACACUGGAACUGAGACACGGUCCAGACUCCUACGGGAGGCAGCAGUGGGGAAUCUUCCGCAAUGGGCGAAAGCCUGACGGAGCAACGCCGCGUGAGUGAUGACGGCCUUCGGGUUGUAAAACUCUGUGAUCCGGGACGAAAAGGCAGAGUGCGAAGAACAAACUGCAUUGACGGUACCGGAAAAGCAAGCCACGGCUAACUACGUGCCAGCAGCCGCGGUAAUACGUAGGUGGCAAGCGUUGUCCGGAAUUAUUGGGCGUAAAGCGCGCGCAGGCGGCUUCCCAAGUCCCUCUUAAAAGUGCGGGGCUUAACCCCGUGAUGGGAAGGAAACUGGGAAGCUGGAGUAUCGGAGAGGAAAGUGGAAUUCCUAGUGUAGCGGUGAAAUGCGUAGAGAUUAGGAAGAACACCGGUGGCGAAGGCGACUUUCUGGACGAAAACUGACGCUGAGGCGCGAAAGCGUGGGGAGCAAACA
Molecule: ribosomal RNA, 747 nt
Filed under: uncultured bacterium
Lineage: Bacteria
Description: bacterial SSU rRNA
Rfam family: Bacterial small subunit ribosomal RNA
Source: RNAcentral